RNAcentral lists this ribosomal RNA (1241 nucleotides) under metagenome. RNAcentral's name for it is "bacterial LSU rRNA". It matches the Rfam family "Bacterial large subunit ribosomal RNA", at positions 1564 to 2814 of the family's 2925-position model. The record is from RNAcentral.
UGAGUACGAGAUGCUACGGCAUCGAAGCAGUCUAUGUCAUACUUCCAAGAAAAGCUUGCACUGUCAUAAACAAAGAAUGCCUGUACCAUAACCGACACAGGUGGGUAGGUAGAGUAUACUAAGGGGCGCGAGAUAACUCUCUCUAAGGAACUCGGCAAAAUGACUCCGUAACUUCGGGAGAAGGAGUGCCUUAUUUAUAAGGUUGCAAUAACAAGAUCCAAGCAACUGUUUAUCAAAAACACAGGUCUCCGCUAAGUCGUAAGACGAUGUAUGGGGGCUGACGCCUGCCCAGUGCCAGAAGGUUAAAGAAGUUGGUUAGUGUAUGCGAAGCUGAUGACUGAAGCCCUGGUGAACGGCGGCCGUAACUAUAACGGUCCUAAGGUAGCGAAAUUCCUUGUCGGGUAAGUUCCGACCCGCACGAAAGGCGUAAUGAUUUGGAUACUGUCUCGGAGAGAGGCUCGGUGAAAUAGACUUGUCUGUGAAGAUGCGGACUACCUGCACCAGGACAGAAAGACCCUAUGAAGCUUUACUGUAACUUGAAAUUGGAAUUGGACUUUGCUUGCGCAGUAUAGGUGGGAAGCGUUGAAAAUAUUCUUGCGGGAGUAUUGGAGCUAUCAGUGAGAUACCACUCUUGUAAUGUUAGAUUUCUAACUUUGAACCAUAAUCUGGUCAAAGAACAGUUUCAGGUGGGCAGUUUGACUGGGGCGGUCGCCUCCCAAAUGGUAACGGAGGCGUACAAAGGUUUCCUCUGAACGGAUAGAAAUCGUAUCUAGAGUGUAAAGGCAUAAGGAAGCUUGACUGUGAGACCUACAAGUCGAGCAGGGACGAAAGUCGGUCUUAGUGAUCUGACGGUACUGAGUGGAAAGGCCGUCACUCAACGGAUAAAAGUUACUCUAGGGAUAACAGGCUGAUCUCCCCCAAGAGUUCACAUCGACGGGGAGGUUUGGCACCUCGAUGUCGGCUCAUCGCAUCCUGGGGCGGUAGUACGUCCCAAGGGUUGGGCUGUUCGCCCAUGAAAGCGGUACGCGAGCUGGGUUCAGAACGUCGUGAGACAGUUCGGUCCAUAUCCGGUGUAGGCGCUAGAAUAUUGAGAGGAGCCUUCUUUAGUACGAGAGGACCGAGAAGGACACACCGCUGGUGUACCAGUUAUCGUGCCAACGGUAAACGCUGGGUAGCUAUGUGUGGAGUGGAUAACCGCUGAAAGCAUCUAAGUGGGAAGCCCACCUCGAGAUGAGUAUUCU